Nyctereutes procyonoides (raccoon dog) is the source of this 2430-nucleotide long non-coding RNA. RefSeq lists it as uncharacterized. The transcript has 3 exons. The record is from RefSeq and is a predicted model, not a curated record. NCBI's taxonomy places the organism in Eukaryota, Metazoa, Chordata, Mammalia, Carnivora, Canidae.
AGGAUGCUCGGAGGAGGCCGGGUGGCGCCGCCCGGAGCGUGCAGCCGCAGCCAGCUGGCGCCCGGCCGCCCCGCACGGGAAUGAAGUCGACUUCCAAGGAAAUGGUACCUGCGCACAGACAAGGGGAGGAGAUGUGAAAGGGGGAGCCUCAGCCAAAGAAGAUUCACUGAACACUUAUCAUUACUGAAAACUGGCCUGGCCGCUGGCAUAUGGAAACAACAGAGUCCCUUUUCUGUGGGAUCAGAUCUGCAAAUGGAGUGACGAGUCCACCCCUGGCUCAUCCAUCACUGCUGAGUGAUGGGCACAUUUUCAGUCAGCGAACAUCUUUAUUCUUUUCAUUUGCCGGUCAUAUCUCAAAAUGCCCUCAAUUAAUGAAAAAACACUAGUAGAAUUAAAUAUAAAUUGCUCAAAAUUAUAUAAUUAAUGGCAUCCUACUUCCACAAUGGUUCCCAAGAAGAUCAAGCUUCCCAGCUGGCCCUUUGGUGGCAGUCAGCCCCUCGAGGCUAGCACGUCAAGGAAUUUGUGUCGAUAGGUUUAGCAACAUGAAAUGACUUGACUUAGCUCUAUGAUAAAUAUUCUAUGUAAUUGAAUAUAUUCGUGUCAAUAAUUUUAUGAUUAUAUCUCAUAGCUGCAUGACAAAUAGGCAUUUACAUAAAAAGAACCUGUACAUGAUUUUAUAAGACACUUUCUUGAAAGCAGGUUUUGAUAAAGGAUUCACACUGGUGACCUCAAAAUAAUGGGCCUUAAGGCACAGGGCAAUAACAAAAUAAGAGGUGGGGAUAAUCACAGUCUGAGUGGAGUGCUAAAACCCCAAAUAGGCACACCGUAGAGAAAAAUCCGUUUAAAAUUAUAUAAAAGAAAGGGGGAUAGUAAUAUUAGAAUGAUAUGAGCAGUUUCACUGUGGACAAAAUUAUGACCUUAGGAGCAACAUCUCUCGAGUUCUAUCCUUCCCAUGGCCAUCACGGUCUGCUUGUACCCUCAGCCCCGAACUACCGAUCUCAAUGGUAUUUUUCAUUAGCAGUAGCCAGGGCUCCUUCAAAGAAGCUGAGUCCGUGUUUGGGAGCAGGGGUAAACUGGAGCAGCCUGAAACAUCUUGCUACUACCAGGAAAGCAGGUUGCUGCAAAAGUGCUGGGCUGUUGCUGAAAGGCAGUGGACAGCUGAGACCAGGAGUUCCCUCCCGCCAGGUUGUGACAGCUUGCACAUCACAAAGAACAGCUAGGUCUCCGGUUGUUGAUCUAUGAGAACAAGUUGAACCUACGAAAGGCAUGAGUCUCUCAUGAUAAAAAAAAAAAAAAAAAAAAGUGGGGACGUUGUUACGUGUAAUUGCAAAGUGUAUUAUAACUCAGAGAAAGGGUAAACGGAACAUUUUAGAAAGGGAAUAAAUUUGGUGUAUAAGGGGGUAGGGGGGUCUCUUCCUACUUAAAGUUCUCGACAUGUGUUUAUGAGAUGGUAUAUCUGUAUAAGUUGAGAAGAGUAGGUUAAAGUGUACAGUGAGUAAGUUAAAAAUUUCUAGACACCGUACCAGACAGAACCAGGAAAGGCUGGUCCAGACCAGCAGCCUCAUAAAUAACCAGGUAGAAGGAACGGUGUUGCAAGUUAAUGGAUUCGCCAGAUGUGCUAGGAGAGUCGCCGACAGACUCAGCUGCUACACAGCCCUGCCAGUGACAAUGAAAUGCUCCUGAUGCGUAAUGCAGUUCACUGGAAACAGGCAGAAGGUGAAGUAUCUGAGAUUUACUGUACAAGAACUUGCUCCUAAGUCCUAUUGACACAGCAGUUGAACCUGAUCUGAGCAAGGGUGCCCCAAUCAGCAAAUGCCUGCUGCCAGUUGAGUCACCUGGAAGGAUCCUGUGCUCCAACUAAGAAUCCAACAGUCAUGGGAGCCUGGGUGGCUCGACAGUUGAGCAUCUGCCUUUAGCUCAGAUCAUGAUCCUGGGGUCCUGGGAUCAAGACCCACAUCGGGCUCCCUGCAGGAAACCUGCUUCUCCCUCUGCCUGUGUCUCUGCCCCUCUCUCAGUGUCUCUCAUGAAUAAAUAAACAAGUCUUUAAAAAAAAAAAAGAAGAAGAAGAAGAAUCCAACAACCAAUAACCCUGAAGCUAUUUCAGUCUACCUGCAGAGGAGAUCAUCUCUCUCUUUUGGGUUUGAUAUUGCAAUUCUGGGAAAGUACAAAAAUAAGUUUUAUCGCGAGAACAAAUAAAUUGUUCAAAUCGAUAGUCAUGAUUUUUACAAAUAGGCUCUUGGGGACAGUAAAAACUCUCGGGGUUUUGGGAUGUUCGAAGCAUUAGAUGCAGAGUUACACUCAAACAGGGUAAUUUGCAUAAAUGUUUAAGGAAAUGUGAUCUGUGACAUUUUAAGUUUGUAUCAGUUGCGUUUGAAUAGUUUACCAAAAAGUUAAUAGAUUUAGAAGUAUAAUAAACAUUCUUUAUACCAA